CAAACUCUCUAAAAAUGCCUAGAAUGAAGGAUUUUGCACCAUUCAUUUCAUACCCUCGGCUCAAUUAUUUUGCCUCACUAAAAUAAGAUGCCUAGCAACGGCCUUGUUACCGGUAUUACAGAGACGGUGUUGCCACUUUGAACAUUGCUCACACUGAAGAGCAUGCUGUCGAGGUCUAACAUGUUGGUCACAUACCAAACAAUAAAAAGCCAUUGUGAUAUUAAAACAAACGCAUUCUGUCUUCUCUUUUAUAGAAAGGAUUCGGCAAAUCAAAC
RNAcentral lists this long non-coding RNA (275 nucleotides) under Mytilus galloprovincialis (Mediterranean mussel). The record is from RNAcentral. Lineage: Eukaryota; Metazoa; Mollusca; Bivalvia; Mytilida; Mytilidae.